Molecule: long non-coding RNA, 274 nt
Filed under: Panax ginseng (ginseng)
Lineage: Eukaryota; Viridiplantae; Streptophyta; Magnoliopsida; Apiales; Araliaceae
Description: long non-coding RNA (PGIN_LNC013798)
Source: RNAcentral
GGAUACUUAGGCGCCGCAAGGCUACGAAGAUAAACCUCUACGGAGAGGAAUCCGACCGUACGAUUCCUUAUAGUCUUCAGUAACCUUUUAUUUAUAUUAUUUUUAUAAAUAUCGUAAAAUAGAUACGACACUUGAUAGCUUAAAACAACACUGAGAUACUGCUCCAAAAAGAGUAGUACCAAGUGACACUAUUUAUAAAAGUUCACAUAAUAGAUAAAAUAUUCUUAUAUAUUAUUUGAGUUAAACAGUAAUAUUUGUUAUAUCAAGAAUUGCU